UACGGAAGGCAGCAGUGGGGAAUAUUGCACAAUGGGCGAAAGCCUGAUGCAGCUAUGCCGCGUGUAUGAAGAAGGCCUUAGGGUUGUAAAGUACUUUCAUCGGGGAGGAAAAAACAAAACUAAUAAUUUUAUUUCUUGACGUUACCCGAAAAAGAAGCACCGGCUAACUCCGUGCCAGCAGCCGCGGUAAUACGGAGGGUGCUAGCGUUAAUCAGAAUUACUGGGCGUAAAGAGCACGUAGGUGGUUUUUUUAAAGUCAGAUGUGAAAUCCCUGGGCUUAACCUAGGAACUGCAUUUUGAAACUGAAAUACUAGAGUAUCGUAGAGGGAGGUAGAAUUCUAGGUGUAGCGGUGAAAUGCGUAGAUAUCUGGAGGAAUACCUGUGGCGAAAGCGGCCUCCUAAACGAAUACUGACACUGAGGUGCGAAAGCGUGGGGAGCGAAACAGGGAUUAGAUACC
This 458-nucleotide ribosomal RNA is filed under the name uncultured bacterium. RNAcentral's name for it is "bacterial SSU rRNA". It matches the Rfam family "Bacterial small subunit ribosomal RNA", at positions 340 to 786 of the family's 1533-position model. The record is from RNAcentral.